This 2590-nucleotide small RNA is filed under the name Pongo abelii (Sumatran orangutan). RNAcentral describes it as "processed transcript". Lineage: Eukaryota; Metazoa; Chordata; Mammalia; Primates; Hominidae. The record is from RNAcentral.
UGUUCAAACGCCACUCCCAGACUGGGCACUCGGCAUGAGGGGUGCGUGCCUUCAGGAACCGUUCAGAUCCUUCCAACUCAGUCACCCACUGGUGCAUGUACCGGGGGGCCGCAUCAGGCACAGCAGGACUGCACAGCUGUGUCCCACAGGCGGAGCCAGACAGUGAAGCUCAUCGGAAAAGCCUUCCAAGGGAAAUAACACGAGGCGGGGGUCUGAGAGGGCAAUUGCAGCUGUAACUAGGACAGCCAAGGACGGCCUCGUGGGGUAACAUGGGAUCUAAGACAGGAGGAGGUUUCAAGAAACUGCGCAGAUCUGAAGCAGCAGCACCCCAGGCCGCACAAGCAGCACACACCGGGGCCCUCUGGCAGCUGCUGUGUUUAAUGAAUGAGGAGGAGGUGGUGUGGCUUGGUGAGGGACACCAGGAGGAAAUGAGAUCGAAGGGUCGGAGCGUGGAUCUGUGGACCAUGGGAACCCUGGAAGCACUCGGAAGGAUGGGGCCUGGUGGAGCAGGACUGGGAAAGCUGGGAAGCCGGGUCGAGGUGUGGGGCAUAGAGGCACCCUCAGACGUCCACACGGUCCAUUGGCCUCCGGGGUCCUCUGUUCCUGCUCUCCCUCAAGCCAUGGGAGCUUGGCAAGUGAGCUGGGCCUCCACUUCCUUAUCUAUGACAUAGGGAGGGUGCAGGCCCCCCUGAGGAGGUGGGACUUGGGGCUGGCGGAGGGGGAAUGUAGGGCAGAUGGUUCCAACAGGCCAGAGGCCGGCUGGUGUCAGGCAUCAGCAGCCUCCUCCUCAGAGUCCAGGUCUGCUGCUGCCUUUGUGCCCACGGUCUUCACGCCCUGCGCGGGGACCAACAAUGCCCUGGCUCCUGAGGGCUGCUUUUGACCUGUGCGGGGAGCAGCCCCAACUUGGGAUGGGGUCUUAGGGGCUUCUGGACCUGCCUUUUCCUGACAAUUCAGGUCAGAGUCUCAAGUCCCCUGGGAGGGGCCCCAAGCAGCUGUGAGGCCUGGGUGCUCAGAGCCCACUGACCGCUAGCCUUGUGCUUGUCCCCAGCGGCAAGCCUGCACGAGCUGUGUGCUGCCAGAGUGUCAGAGGUCCUUCAAAACAGAGUACACAGGACGGAGGAAGUGAAGCAUGUGGACUUCUAUGCUUUCUCCUACUAUUACGACCUUGCAGCUGGUGUGGGACUCAUAGAUGCGGAGAAGGGAGGCAGCCUGGUGGUGGGGGACUUCGAGAUCGCAGCCAAGUACGUGUGUCGGACCCUGGAGACACAGCCACAGAGCGGCCCCUUCGCGUGCAUGGACCUCACCUACGUCAGCCUGCUACUCCAGGAGUUCGGCUUUCCCAGGAGCAAAGUGCUGAAGCUCACUCGGAAAAUUGACAAUGUUGAGACCAGCUGGGCUCUGGGGGCCAUUUUUCAUUACAUCGACUCCCUGAACAGACAGAAGAGUCCAGCCUCAUAGUGGCCGAGCCAUCCCUGUCCCCGUCAGCAGUGUCUGUGUGUCUGCAUAAACCCUCCUGUCCUGGACGUGACUUCAUCCUGAGGAGCCACAGCACAGGCCGUGGUGGCACUUUCUGCACACUGGCUGUGGGACUUGCACAAGGCCUGGUGCUGCCCUGGCAUCAUCCUCUUCCAGUCACAUCUGGCCAGAGGGCUGUCUGGACCUGGGGCCUGCUCAAUGCCACCUGUCUGCCUGGGCUCCAAGUGGGCAGGACCAGGACAGAACCACAGGCACACACUGAGGGGGCAGUGUGGCUCCCUGCCUGUCCCAUCCCCAUGCCCCGUCCGCGGGGCUGUGGCUGCUGCUGUGCGUGUCCCUGCGAUGGGAGUCUUGUCUCCCAGCCUGUCAGUUUCCUCCCCAGGGCAGAGCUCCCCUUCCUGCGAGAGUCUGGGAGGCGGUGCAGGCUGUCCUGGCUGCUCUGCGGAAGCCGAGGGACAGUCAUCACACUCCCAGGACAGUAGGUCUGGGCGGCACCACUGGGAACUCUGGACUUGAGUGUGUUUGCCUCUUCCUUGGGUAUGAAUGUGUGAGUUCACCCAGAGGCCUGCUCUCCUCACACGUUGUGUGGUUUGGGGUUAAUGAUGGAGGGAGACACCUCCUCAUGGACGGCAGGUGCCCACCCUUCAGGGAGUCUCCCAGCAUGGGCAGAUGCCGGGCAUGAGCUGCUGUAAACUAUUUGUGGCUGUGCUGCUUGAGUGAAGUCUCUGUCGUGUGGGUGCCAAGUGCUUGUGUAGAAACUGUGUUCUGAGCCCCCUUUUCUGGACACUGACUGUGUCCUGUGAAUGUAUCGCUACUGUGAGCCGUUCCCGCCUAGCCAGGGCCAUGUCUUAGAUGCAGCUGUGCCGCGGGUCAGCUGAGCCACAGUCCCAGAACCAAGCUCUUGGUGUCUCGGGCCACAAUCCGCCCACCUCGGGCUGACCCCACCUCCUCCAUGGACAGUGUGAGCCCUGGGCCGUGCAUCCUGCUCAGUGUGGUGUGGGUGCCGGGGCCAAGCCCAUUGAGCUGCUUCAGUGAAUGUACAGUGCCCAGCACGAGCUGAACCUCAUGUGUUCCACUCCCAAUAAAAGGUUGACAGGGGCUUCCCCUUCUCUGG